UUUUUAGUUUUUUAAGAGAGUGAAAAAUUGGGCAGCUUAUAUAAUUGAUCUACUAGGACAAUGAAAGCAGUUAUUUUUGCCACUCUAAUUGUUCUUAAGCUGAUCAUAAGCAGCGCUAGUGCUCCAGCUGAACUUGAAUCUGAAGAGAGUAUAGUGGUGGCUCUAGAGAAGGCUUUAAUGCAAGCUGCUCAUGUCAAUGAAGAUGCUGAAGAAAACAGUGGCAUGACGGUCCAUUUCGCCUAUUAUGGUUUAACCUGUACCAGCCAUCUCAACCCCAGUGUUACAAGAAUUAGCACCAACUGGGCCAAACAGCAGUGUGAUGGGCGAAUGAGCUGCUCUGGAGCUAUAUCUGUUUUCGGUCUCACAGAUCCUUACCCUGGUUGCCGUAAGGACUUCAUUGUCGUUGCAGGAUGCCCCAAUGGGCACGUCCUAGCUAACCACUUGUCAAGUGAGGCUCAUGGGAAAUUAUUUUCCCUGAGUUGUUAUACUGAGUAGCUGCAUAGCUGUGUAGCUCAUGCAAUGAACUGAUAUAUAGAUCUGUAAGACAACUGUGUAACAUUUACUAUAUAGCUUUAGUUAGCCAUGCAGUUAGAGAUGCAUAUUAAUUUAGUGUUGAAUUUGUUACUGACAUGUCUAUACGUGUUAUUUGCAUUUGAUUCCCAGAA
This is a long non-coding RNA of Halichondria panicea, 665 nucleotides long. RefSeq lists it as uncharacterized. The transcript has 2 exons. The record is from RefSeq and is a predicted model, not a curated record. Lineage: Eukaryota; Metazoa; Porifera; Demospongiae; Suberitida; Halichondriidae.